RNAcentral lists this long non-coding RNA (550 nucleotides) under Lathyrus oleraceus (garden pea). RNAcentral describes it as "Pisum sativum (pea) long non-coding RNA (PSAT_LNC028267)". Lineage: Eukaryota; Viridiplantae; Streptophyta; Magnoliopsida; Fabales; Fabaceae. The record is from RNAcentral.
AGGAAAGGUCAAUGAUUUGAGAUCCUUCUAGAACCCGGUUACUAUUCUAAGACAGGUUGAACCAACCAAACUUCAGUGGAGGGUAUUUACCUAUGGAACUCACGCAAGCCUUAAAACCUAGGAAUGAUUGUUGUGUGACUUGCUUGUGCUUGUUAUUAUCUAACAACAUGACAUCAUAAACAACAUAACAUCAUAACAUCAUGGCAUUGUACUAACCAUUUCAAGGAUUUAGGGAUUUAACUCUGCUAAAAAAAAAAAACAGAAAAAACAAAAACAAAAGCAAAAACAAAAGAGAAAAGAAAAAAAAAAGCUCUUUUUGGUAGUUUAUGCAAAGUUAAAUCCCGAAAGUCCUUGAAAACAUUUCAUACAUUGCAUUGCAUCGCAUAACAGGUAUUCUAAAGGAUCAGUGUUCUCACGAUUUUCCAUCAAACAGAUUCCAGCAGAUUCAAACAGAUUGAACAAUGGCUCUCGAACAAACUGUCAAAGAUCUCCAGGCCCAGAAUGCUCAAUCCAGGAAAUGAUGCUGAGCUUAUCUAAGGGGCAGGAAGAA